This 433-nucleotide ribosomal RNA is filed under the name uncultured bacterium. RNAcentral describes it as "partial 16S ribosomal RNA". It matches the Rfam family "Bacterial small subunit ribosomal RNA", at positions 29 to 507 of the family's 1533-position model. The record is from RNAcentral.
AACGAACGCUGGCGGCAUGCCUAACACAUGCAAGUCGAACGAGACCUUCGGGUCUAGUGGCGCACGGGUGCGUAACGCGUGGGAACCUGCCCUUAGGUUCGGAAUAACUCCCCGAAAGGGGUGCUAAUACCGGAUAAUGUCUUCGGACCAAAGAUUUAUCGCCUUUGGAUGGGCCCGCGUUGGAUUAGCUAGUUGGUAGGGUAAAAGCCUACCAAGGCGACGAUCCAUAGCUGGUCGGAGAGGAUGAUCAGCCACACUGGGACUGAGACACGGCCCAGACUCCUACGGGAGGGAGCAGUGGGGAAUAUUGGACAAUGGGCGAAAGCCUGAUACAGCAAUGCCGCGUGAGUGAUGAAGGCCUUAGGGUUGUAAAGCUCUUUUACCCGGGAUGAUAAUGACAGUACCGGGAGAAUAAGCUCCGGCUAACUCCGUG